GUUUACUGAGUAUGUGGUCAGUAUAUUUGCCUUCCAAGCAAAAGGGUUAAACGUUGUUUUAAAGUAAAUA
Molecule: transfer RNA, 70 nt
Filed under: Diodora graeca
Lineage: Eukaryota; Metazoa; Mollusca; Gastropoda; Lepetellida; Fissurellidae
Description: tRNA-Gly
Source: RNAcentral